GCCAAUGGCAUUGCCCGGUAGCUAAGUGCGGAAGAGAUAACCGCUGAAAGCAUCUAAGCGGGAAACUUGCCUUGAGAUGAGUCUUCCCUGACUCUUUAAGAGUCCUAAAGGAACGUUUAAGACUAAGACGUUGAUAGGUUGGGUGUGUAAGCGUAGCGAUACGUUGAGCUAACCAAUACUAAUGAACCGUGAGGCUUAACCUG
RNAcentral lists this ribosomal RNA (203 nucleotides) under Providencia rettgeri. RNAcentral describes it as "partial 23S ribosomal RNA". It matches the Rfam family "Bacterial large subunit ribosomal RNA", at positions 2728 to 2925 of the family's 2925-position model. Lineage: Bacteria; Pseudomonadati; Pseudomonadota; Gammaproteobacteria; Enterobacterales; Morganellaceae. The record is from RNAcentral.